RNAcentral lists this ribosomal RNA (451 nucleotides) under Oedipoda caerulescens. RNAcentral describes it as "partial 16S ribosomal RNA". It matches the Rfam family "Archaeal large subunit ribosomal RNA", at positions 1944 to 2628 of the family's 2987-position model. The record is from RNAcentral. Lineage: Eukaryota; Metazoa; Arthropoda; Insecta; Orthoptera; Acrididae.
GUCUGGCCUGCUCACUGAUUUUAUUUUUGAAGAGCCGCGGUAUUUUGACCGUGCAAAGGUAGCAUAAUCAUUAGUUUCUUAAUUGGAUGCUGGAAUGAAUGGUUUGACGAGAAAUUAACUGUCUCUUAAUAAAUUAUAAAAUUUAACUUUUAAGUUAAAAGGCUUAAAUAUAUCUUUAGGACGAGAAGACCCUAUAGAGCUUAACAUUAAAAGUUUUUUGUGUUUUAUCUUGUUUAUCUUUCUAUAAUAAAUUUUAAUGUUUGGUUGGGGUGACAUAAAGAAUAAAUAAACUCUUUAUUAUAAAAUCAUUAAUUUAUGUUUAUUUGAUCCAUAAUUUAUGAUCAUAAGAUUAAGUUACCUUAGGGAUAACAGCGUAAUCAUUUUUGAGAGUUCUUAUCAAUAAAAUGGGUUGCGACCUCGAUGUUGGAUUAAGAAUAAUCUUGGGUGUAGU